Misgurnus anguillicaudatus (oriental weatherfish) is the source of this 853-nucleotide long non-coding RNA. RefSeq lists it as uncharacterized. NCBI's taxonomy places the organism in Eukaryota, Metazoa, Chordata, Actinopteri, Cypriniformes, Cobitidae. The record is from RefSeq and is a predicted model, not a curated record.
UCACUCACCUCAGGUUGAAUGUUUAAGAUAACGUCCUCCUUACAGUUUACAACUGCACAUUUAUGAAGAUAAUAAUGAGCUCUUUUUAUUUUCCCAUUGACUAUCAACCAUCGAGCGGACUCUGGAACCCACCUACAUCAGGAAAAUUGAGGAUUGUGCACAGAAGUAAAGGUGAAGUGACGACCACUGUUAACCAUCUCCAGUCUCUCACACAGAAUGCAAUCAGAGAUAAAGAGAUGAGAUGAUGAUGAUGCCAGUUAUGGUGAAUCCAGUAAAGAAUCUCAGCACUGCAAACAUGAUGAAGGAUGAGGAAAAAGCGCUGGCCACUGCAAAACCCAUUCCUGAAACAUACGACACCAGCAACAUCGGCUUACGCCCAAAUCUACAUAGAGAACAGAAGCUAUGAUUAAAAAAUGAUGGGCUUAAUUAAAAGAUAACACUGUCAAAAGUAUUGUUAAAGCAUGCAACAGAGGCAUCACCUGUCACUCAGACCUCCAAAAAAUACUGCUCCAAACAUCACUCCAACAAAGAAGAUGGUGGCAACUGCUUUAUUCAGCCCUCUAUUAUCACAUACCAGAUCCCACUUUGCAGAGAGAGAGAGAGACAGAGAACCUACUUUACAGACUGAUCAGACCAGAUAGUUAACUAAUAUACCACACCACCUUCACAUUCACAAACCAAUAGACAGCCAUUACAAAUGUUUUAUAUAAAUUUGUUUAUAUAAAACAGUCAGAUGCAGGGGAUAACCUGUAAUGCAGAAACAAUUCCUGAGGAACAUCAGCAGAUUAACAUCAAAGGAUAAAAGCAUCUUACCUGUGUGGCCAGAGUGCUGAUGAAUGUACUGUUAUCAUAC